This 98-nucleotide transfer RNA is filed under the name Acidobacteriota bacterium. Its description in RNAcentral is "Acidobacteria bacterium (anaerobic digester metagenome) tRNA-Sec". It matches the Rfam family "Selenocysteine transfer RNA". The record is from RNAcentral. Lineage: Bacteria; Pseudomonadati; Acidobacteriota.
GGAGGCGAAUCGGGACUGGUGUUCUGCGCGGUCUUCAAAACCGUUGAGGGGCGUUGAGAGACGUCCCUGGUGGGUUCGAUUCCCAUGCGCCUCCGCCA